RNAcentral lists this ribosomal RNA (301 nucleotides) under uncultured bacterium. Its description in RNAcentral is "partial 16S ribosomal RNA". It matches the Rfam family "Bacterial small subunit ribosomal RNA", at positions 509 to 807 of the family's 1533-position model. The record is from RNAcentral.
CAGCAGCCGCGGUAAUACGAAGGGUGCAAGCGUCAAUCGGAAUUACUGGGCGUAAAGCGUACGUAGGCGGUGAGUUAAGUCUGCUGUGAAAUCCCCAGGCUCAACCUGGGAAUGGCAGUGGAUACUGGCUCGCUAGAGUGUGUCAGAGGAUGGUGGAAUUCCCGGUGUAGCGGUGAAAUGCGUAGAGAUCGGGAGGAACAUCAGUGGCGAAGGCGGCCAUCUGGGACAACACUGACGCUGAGGCACGAAAGCGUGGGGAGCAAACAGGAUUAGAUACCCCGGUAGUCCCUGUCUCUUAUAC